AAUCAACGCUGGCGGCGUGCCUCAGACAUGCAGGUCGAACGCGAAAGGUUCCUUCGGGAACCGAGUAGAGUGGCGCACGGGUGAGUAACACGUAGGUAAUUUGCCUUUGGGUGGGGAAUAACAGCCGGAAACGGCUGCUAAUACCGCAUAAUGCAGCGGCUCGACAUCGAGACAGUUGUUAAAGCGGGGGAUCGCAAGACCUCGCGCCUAAAGAGAAGCCUGCGGCAGAUUAGCUAGUUGGUAGGGUAAUGGCCUACCAAGGCGACGAUCUGUAACCGGCCUGAGAGGGCGGUCGGUCACACUGACACUGACAUACGGGUCAGACUCCUACGGGAGGCAGCA
Molecule: ribosomal RNA, 342 nt
Filed under: uncultured bacterium
Lineage: Bacteria
Description: bacterial SSU rRNA
Rfam family: Bacterial small subunit ribosomal RNA
Source: RNAcentral